UACAGAGGUCUCAAGCGUUGUUCGGAAUCACUGGGCGUAAAGCGUUCGUAGGCGGCAAGGUAAGUCUGAUGUUAAAGCCCGGGGCUCAACUCCGGUUCGGCAUUGGAUACUAUCUAGCUAGAAUGUGGUAGAGGUAAAGGGAAUUCCUGGUGUAGCGGUGAAAUGCGUAGAUAUCAGGAGGAACAUCGGUGGCGAAAGCGCUUUACUGGACCAUUAUUGACGCUGAGGAACGAAAGCCAGGGGAGCAAAUGGG
This 253-nucleotide ribosomal RNA is filed under the name uncultured cyanobacterium. RNAcentral describes it as "partial 16S ribosomal RNA". It matches the Rfam family "Bacterial small subunit ribosomal RNA", at positions 524 to 776 of the family's 1533-position model. The record is from RNAcentral. Lineage: Bacteria; Bacillati; Cyanobacteriota.